AAUAGAUACCCGGGUAGUCCACACCGUAAACGAUGGAUACUAGGUGUAGGAGAUAUUAAGUCUUCUGUGCCGUCGCAAACGCAGUAAGUAUCCCACCUGGGGAGUACAGCCGCAAGGUUGAAACUCAAAGGAAUUGACGGGGGCCCGCACAAGCAGUGGAGUAUGUGGUUUAAUUCGAAGCAACGCGAAGAACCUUACCAGGGCUUGACAUAUAGAUGAAUAUAUAAGAGAUUAUAUAGCUUUUCGGAGCAUCUAUACAGGUGGUGCAUGGUUGUCGUCAGCUCGUGUCGUGAGAUGUUGGGUUAAGUCCCGCAACGAGCGCAACCCCUGUUUCUAGUUGCCAGCAUGUAAAGAUGGGAACUCUAGAAAGACUGCCGUAGAUAAUACGGAGGAAGGUGGGGAUGACGUCAAAUCAUCAUGCCCUUUAUGUCCUGGGCUACACACGUACUACAAUGGCUGUAACAGAGGGAAGCGAACCAGUGAUGGUAAGCGAAACCCGAAAAGCAGUCACAGUUCGGAUUGAAGGCU
Molecule: ribosomal RNA, 528 nt
Filed under: uncultured bacterium
Lineage: Bacteria
Description: bacterial SSU rRNA
Rfam family: Bacterial small subunit ribosomal RNA
Source: RNAcentral